Molecule: long non-coding RNA, 974 nt
Filed under: Triticum aestivum (bread wheat)
Lineage: Eukaryota; Viridiplantae; Streptophyta; Magnoliopsida; Poales; Poaceae
Description: long non-coding RNA (TAES_LNC010798)
Source: RNAcentral
AAAAUGGACUGGGCAGUGCCAGGUAGGGGAACGACACCUUCAUUUUCUUUUUGGAUCUGGAUAGCACAUUCAUGCAAUUCUUGAUAUACUUAUUGUAUUGAUGCAUCACGUGGGGAAGAAACUAAAAUGCCAUCACAGGCGUACAUUCAGGUGAGUCAUUGCAGACGGCAACGACCAUCCAGGACAAGUCGUCGACGAAGGCGGCGGAUAUGUUGAGCUUGGUCCGGAGGACCAUGAUGGAAGCCCUGGUCCUCUCGAUGGUGAACGGCUCUACACCAUUAGCAUCCUGGGUCCUCAGCUGCACACACUAGCUUCUUCUCGUACGACAACAGCCGGACACGCUCCUCUGCCUGCAAAUGCAUUCCAGUUCAUAACUAGGCUUGAAUUAAGUGCACACAUUACCCAAGAGACAACCAUUUGAUAAGCAAAUCCAUUUGGAAAAAUAUAAACUGAGACAUAAAGCUCUAAUAUCAAGUCAAUGAUUAUUAACAAAAAUAAAUACUAUGGUGCCUUUAGGUGUAUUUGACAACAAAUAAUAAGAAAUAUUAAGUAGAACUACUAAUCCUAGAACUGUCAUUGCCAUAUAGAAAGGAUCGGGUGUAUUUCCAUUAAGAAUUCACUUUUAUUUCAUUUGUCAAGAAGUCGAACUGAAGAGGAGAAUACCUCUUAUAUUGCAUAUUUCUUCACCAAAGCGUUUUAACAUGCAAUGCAAGCAAGAGGUAGUUGGUCUCCUUACACCAAAAGUUCAACAAAUCAAUUUGCAAACAAAAAGAGCUGAGAUAAAUUUCCAAAUAACAUGGUAUAGCCUUUUCUUAAUUAACGCAAUAAUUUUAAAAAAGGGAUAUCCUCAUGAACAGCAGCAGAAGAAGGGAAAGCCUAAAAUGUUUCUCCAAACUAAUGACCCAAAGUUCUGAAGUAACCUCUAAAAUUGUUGUUGGACAACUGAACUGUCAUAUCUUUCAACCACAAAAAGA